Lagopus muta (rock ptarmigan) is the source of this 2163-nucleotide long non-coding RNA. RefSeq lists it as uncharacterized. Lineage: Eukaryota; Metazoa; Chordata; Aves; Galliformes; Phasianidae. The transcript is spliced from 3 exons. The record is from RefSeq and is a predicted model, not a curated record.
AAAGGCGGGAAAAAAGCUCCUUUAGGGAGGGACAGCGCGUGGGCGCAGCGUGAGAGGGAAAUGUCAAAGUGGUCCUCUUAGCCUCUGCUGCAGCAAAAGCACUACGCAAAAGGUGCACCUCGUGAUUUUGUGCGCACAGUCUGCCAUCAGAGCAGUGUUGUGCACCACAGCCACGUUCGUGCUGACUAAAAUCCAAAUGGGCUGUAAAAAGAAGAAAACUCAGAAGUCUCCCUGCAUCCUGUGACCCUGCACACUACGUUGCCAGGAAGUAAACAAAGAUCAGACUUUACACAUGAAGAUGUACUACAAUGGGCGCUGGGAACUGAGAGCCUUGGAAAACACAAGAGAACAACUUGCGUGGAAAAUUGCUAUUUUCAUUCCACGUCUGCAAAUGUUCCCUUUCAAGGGCAAUGUAAGAUGAGCGAAAUUUCUGUAAUGAGGUUUAUCAGGGAGAGGGGAGAAUCUACCUGUAAAGUUUUGUAUUCGCUGCAGUGUAAAACUCUGGGAACAAUAUUAUAAAAUAUGAUUUAUAUCAACUGAAAAGAAGGAUAAAAAACAUUGGCUGAAAAUCCACAGCUUUACUCACCUCUUAUCAAAACUCUUACAAAAAACAGUUUCGUAUGUUGUUAUACUGUUAUUCCUCUGGAGAGCUGUGUCCGUCAUGGCAAAAAACAUUCUGAAUAUUCUAAAAUUUGUUCCUUGAAAACAUCUGAAGAAAAAGCAGGAGAUAUUUGGCUGCAUUGCUGUUUUGUUCUCGACAUGAAGAAAAGACCGUUUGUAGUUUCUGUUGCAGUUUUGUAUAGUAGCAGAAGAAAAGGGAAGUGAGUCUAUGUGCUUCUUGGGAUAUUCUGAUACAAGUUUCCUUGUUCCACCCUGCAGUGAAAGUUGCCAUGGACUACAUUGGUGUGUACUUCUGGGUUACGGUAGUAGCACUGUUUGAAUCUGAAAAUCCUGAGAAGGCUUUUCCAACAGGCAGCACAAUACAGUAAAGAACAGAAGCUUACUCUGAAUUUUAGCAUCCUCUCUAACAUAAAGCAGAAAUUGUCUGGAUUUUGGUAGCAUUUUUUAGAGGAAGAUUCCAUCAAACUGGACCAUGCACGCCAGUGAAAUUAUCUAGUGAGACUGAUGGACCACACAGAAUCACAUCUCCCCUGUUCUUGCCAAGGUUAAAGGAGCAGUGAAUUCAGCCUGCAUAAAGAGAAAAUGAAAUAAAUUAUUAUUUUUAGCUUGUCCUGACAAGCAUCGUUUUAUGUGGCUUCUUACAAACGCGGUGCAUGUAAGCAGUAGGAGGAGCUGUUGAGCAAGAUAUGUUUUUUUCUAACUCAUUAUAAGGUGUAUAAUUAUGAUUUGUGAAGCUGACUCAGUGAUGGCUUUUCAAGCCUUUCACAAAUGAAAAGUGCCGCAGUUCUACUCCCAACAAAACCAAAGUGAAAUCUUUCAAUCACAAAGCAUAUGCCACAUACUUGCAAAGCUUUUAAUGCCAGCACUGAAAAGAAAGUUUUUGGGUCAUGAAGUUCUGGUAUUGCACUGGGAAGAUUUGCUAGAGAAAGCAGUGCAGGAUUCAGCCAUGGAGUGAGACACCUGAGUCCCUUUGCUCACCCUGGAUCAGCACUGUCUCAGUGCUACACUGAGCCUCCAGUUUUGCACUUCUGCUAUCUUCACAUAGGACCUGUAUCUGUGUCUGGAUUAUUCAUGUUUAAUUGGUGGUCCCUUCCAUUUCAAGAGUUGAGUGAAAGCAAAUUCUCUGCAGUUUUUAUAUGGAUGACUUCGAAAUGGCCAUAUCAUAACAACAAUUGCUGCUCUCUUGCAUCUAUUUAGCAGAAGAUUUUGCCUGCACUGUAUUGUUGCAUCUGCAUUCCAUUCAGAAGUGAAAUCUUUGCACACUCUGCAGCUAUGGAGUGUUUCAGAUCACAUUUCAAGCUGAGAUGCUUUUGGAACUAACUCAAACUCUUGCAGCAUUGAGGACAUAUAAAGCUACAGAAGAUAGGCAACAAAACUCAGGGUGCUGAUGGAGUGCUUCAGGUGGUGUGGAGCAUCUUCUGCUGUUGCACAGUGUGAGUACAAGGCCUCAGGAACUGCAGUAACAGUUUGGGUCUGCGUGCUGGUGGCUGGAAGAGCACUUUGUGCAGAGUCUGGAAUGAAACCACUUUCUUUCACUUGGCA